This is a long non-coding RNA of Hibiscus syriacus, 630 nucleotides long. RefSeq lists it as uncharacterized. The record is from RefSeq and is a predicted model, not a curated record. Lineage: Eukaryota; Viridiplantae; Streptophyta; Magnoliopsida; Malvales; Malvaceae. The transcript is spliced from 3 exons.
AUAGUCAAUACGAGAAUGAUACAUGUCCCCUUGAAACAUCUAUCCCCUACACAUGGAUCAAAACAAUUCCAUUGAUACCAUUGUCCAAGAUAUAUCUAGCCUUUACUAGUUGACUCGAAAACUGAGUCGACUCUCGUGUGGAAGUGAAGAGCACAAAUUCCAAAACUUGCAGAAAAGUAUCAGUUUGAAGGAGAUUCGCUUGCCGUUGCCUUUGUUUAGGGUUUUCUUUUUGGAAGAAAUAAUGGAAGGAGGAGGAGAGCCCCAAAUUAUGAGAUACAAAUUCCACAGGCCAUCCAUGAAAUGGGGUUUCCACAAUAUGGAGAAAACCAGAUGAGUUUCUGUCCCCGGCGCAACCUUCUCAGCCUCUCACCACCACCACCAACUCCACCGCCAUGGCGGCGUUUACCGAUCAUAACAGCCAGGUAGGGACCUUGGAGCAGACCCGUGUCAAUAAUAUCAACGAUGGAAACAAUAAUUCAUGGUGGAUGAACUCAGCUUCGGGCAAAGUGAAGGCGAGGAGAAAGCUUAGAGAACCGAGGUUUGUUUCCAGACGAGAAGUGAGGUUGAUGUGCUAGACGAUGGUUAUAAGUGGAGAAAAUAUGGGCAGAAGGUUGUCAAAAACAGUCUUCA